Long non-coding RNA from Aegilops tauschii subsp. strangulata, 666 nucleotides. RefSeq lists it as uncharacterized. NCBI's taxonomy places the organism in Eukaryota, Viridiplantae, Streptophyta, Magnoliopsida, Poales, Poaceae. The record is from RefSeq and is a predicted model, not a curated record.
AACUGCUAGAGUUUAAUCCUUCACGGCCCAUUGUCUCCCCUUUCCUUCAUAUACAUCGCCCAUCUGUCCCCUUCCAUCCUUGCUUUCCAACCUUCACCAACUCCCCUCUUCUCUCAUCAGUGUCAUCUAGUCGUCCUCUUCCUCUCCUCGAUUGCGUGGUUACCGGAUCUGGACUAGCGGCACCGCUGCUGCACACGAGCAGAUCGGGAUGGCGGGAGGAAUCUUGCAGCUGAUAUAGUUCUCAAAGGAACGAUCUAAAUUUCAUUUUCCCCAAUAAAUUCAAUGCAGUUUGACAUCCGUGGCGAGAUUGACCUAUAUCUAAUUAAUAAGAGUACUCUUGCCAUCCAACAAAUGGCGAAGCAAACCGCCACUAGCGGUAGCAGCAGUUGGUGGCUUGAUCACGAACUCAGGAUAAGGAGCACUGCAUUUCUUUUCCUCAUGUGGAGGGAUGGAUCAAAGUAAAUGGACGGGAGAUUUCUGAUGGAGAGUGGCAUGGUUCAAAUUUGGGGUUAUAGUCUUAUAGAUAGGUGGUGAUAUUUCAGUUGUAGCUUGAAGGUUUUUUCCACUUACAAAAGAAGCGGAGAUGGUGGGCAUGUAUUGAAGCCAUGGACCAUUUGGGUUCCACGUGUAAACUUUCAUAUAAUCCUCUAAUAUGUGUGUUCGUCA